AGAGAGGUAGCUUGCUACUGAUCUUAGCGGCGGACGGGUGAGUAAUGCUUAGGAAUCUGCCUAUUAGUGGGGGACAACAUUUCGAAAGGAAUGCUAAUACCGCAUACGUCCUACGGGAGAAAGCAGGGGAUCUUCGGACCUUGCGCUAAUAGAUGAGCCUAAGUCGGAUUAGCUAGUUGGUGGGGUAAAGGCCUACCAAGGCGACGAUCUGUAGCGGGUCUGAGAGGAUGAUCCGCCACACUGGGACUGAGACACGGCCCAGACUCCUACGGGAGGCAGCAGUGGGGAAUAUUGGACAAUGGGCGCAAGCCUGAUCCAGCCAUGCCGCGUGUGUGAAGAAGCCUUAUGGUUGUAAAGCACUUUAAGCGAGGAGGAGGCUACUUUAGAUAAUACCUAGAGAUAGUGGACGUUACUCGCAGAAUAAGCACCGGCUAACUCUGUGCCAGCAGCCGCGGUAAUACAGAGGGUGCAAGCGUUAAUCGGAUUUACUGGGCGUAAAGCGCGCGUASGCGGCUAAUUAAGUCAAAUGUGAAAUCCCCGAGCUUAACUUUGGAAUUGCAUUCGAUACUGGGUAGCUACAGUGUGGGAGA
Molecule: ribosomal RNA, 590 nt
Filed under: Acinetobacter calcoaceticus
Lineage: Bacteria; Pseudomonadati; Pseudomonadota; Gammaproteobacteria; Moraxellales; Moraxellaceae
Description: bacterial SSU rRNA
Rfam family: Bacterial small subunit ribosomal RNA
Source: RNAcentral